CCCGUCCAACACGGGAGCGCACCCAAGUGCGCUGAGAGGACGGCUGGAUGGGCCGUCGACCGUACGAACCUGACCGGGUAAUGCCGGCGUAGGGAGAUCUGUUGAUGACUGUU
Molecule: non-coding RNA, 113 nt
Filed under: Mycolicibacterium cosmeticum
Lineage: Bacteria; Bacillati; Actinomycetota; Actinomycetes; Mycobacteriales; Mycobacteriaceae
Description: Mycobacterium cosmeticum TPP sequence
Rfam family: TPP riboswitch aptamer (THI element)
About the family: Vitamin B(1) in its active form thiamin pyrophosphate (TPP) is an essential coenzyme that is synthesised by coupling of pyrimidine and thiazole moieties in bacteria. The previously detected thiamin-regulatory element, thi box was extended, resulting in a new, highly conserved RNA secondary structure, the THI element, which is widely distributed in eubacteria and also occurs in some archaea.
Source: Rfam by way of RNAcentral